UGGAAGAAGCAUCGAGAUCCGUUUAUCAAUAUUUUAUAUUAACAUUAUUAAUAUAUCAGUCUGAUGAUAACAAGCCUCCGAGGACCUGAAUCAAUACUUACAGGGUUUCAGGGAAGAGGAGGAUACAAGUCUAGAGUCUAAAAGCCUAGAGUCUACUGGUUCUGAGUCUACACUUCUGUCUAGAGCCUACAAGUAUAAGACCUACAAGUCUGGAGCCUACAAGUCUAGAGCCUACAAGUAUAAGACCUACAAGUCUGGAGCCUACAGGUCUAGAGCCUACAAGUCUAGGACCUAAAAAUCUAACACCUACAAGUCCAAGACCUACAAAUAUAGAGCCUACAAGUCUAGAGCCUACAAAUCUAGAGCCUACAAGUAUAGAACCUACAAGUCUAGAGCCUACAAGAAUAGAGCCUACAAUCUAGAGCCUACAAGUCUAGAACCUACAAGGCUAGAGUCUACAAGUCUAGAGCCUACAAGUCUAGACCCUACAAAUCUAGAGCCUACAAGACUAGAGCCUACAAGUCUAGAGCCUACAA
This is a long non-coding RNA of Gasterosteus aculeatus aculeatus (three-spined stickleback), 536 nucleotides long. Lineage: Eukaryota; Metazoa; Chordata; Actinopteri; Perciformes; Gasterosteidae. The record is from Ensembl.